UGGGGAAUCUUGCACAAUGGGGGAAACCCUGAUGCAGCGACGCCGCGUGAGCGAUGAAGCCCUUCGGGGUGUAAAGCUCUUUCGACGGGAACGAUAAUGACGGUACCCGGAGAAGAAGCUGCGGCUAACUACGUGCCAGCAGCCGCGGUAAUACGUAGGCAGCAAGCGUUGUUCGGAAUUACUGGGCGUAAAGAGUGUGUAGGCGGUGCUCUAAGUUCGGUGUGAAAUCUCCCGGCUCAACUGGGAGGGUGCGCCGGAAACUGGGGUGCUGGAGCGCGGGAGAGGAAAGCGGAAUUCCUGGUGUAGCGGUGAAAUGCGUAGAUAUCAGGAGGAACACCGGCGGUGUAGACGGCUUUCUGGACCGUAGCUGACGCUGAGACACGAAAGCGUGGGUAGCAAACA
RNAcentral lists this ribosomal RNA (402 nucleotides) under uncultured Solibacteraceae bacterium. RNAcentral's name for it is "partial 16S ribosomal RNA". It matches the Rfam family "Bacterial small subunit ribosomal RNA", at positions 355 to 774 of the family's 1533-position model. The record is from RNAcentral. Lineage: Bacteria; Pseudomonadati; Acidobacteriota; Terriglobia; Bryobacterales; Solibacteraceae. RNAcentral also lists the same sequence under 1 other name.